GGUCCCAUAGUUAAGUGGUUAUAACAGUGGCUUGUCACGCCACAGUCAGGGGUUCAAUUCCCCUUGGGACCGCCA
This 75-nucleotide transfer RNA is filed under the name marine sediment metagenome. Its description in RNAcentral is "tRNA-Asp". It matches the Rfam family "tRNA". From Rfam's summary of the family: Transfer RNA (tRNA) molecules are approximately 80 nucleotides in length. Their secondary structure includes four short double-helical elements and three loops (D, anti-codon, and T loops). Further hydrogen bonds mediate the characteristic L-shaped molecular structure. tRNAs have two regions of fundamental functional importance: the anti-codon, which is responsible for specific mRNA codon recognition, and the 3' end, to which the tRNAs corresponding amino acid is attached (by aminoacyl-tRNA synthetases). tRNAs cope with the degeneracy of the genetic code in two manners: having more than one tRNA (with a specific anti-codon) for a particular amino acid; and 'wobble' base-pairing, i.e. permitting non-standard base-pairing at the 3rd anti-codon position. The record is from RNAcentral.